This 1532-nucleotide long non-coding RNA is filed under the name Piliocolobus tephrosceles (Ugandan red Colobus). Its description in RNAcentral is "lncRNA (ENSPTEG00000009452.1)". The record is from RNAcentral. Lineage: Eukaryota; Metazoa; Chordata; Mammalia; Primates; Cercopithecidae.
CAAGUGGGGAGGAGUACCAGAUAAAAAGGAACCAGUAUUACCACAAUAUGUCAUAUGUGAUUAUUCAGAUUUUGUUGAAAGUAAAAUAUAUGUAAAUAAAUUUCGAUUUAAAUUAUACGAUCCACUUUAUCAAUUAGGUAAAUAUAGGAAUUGUGCUGGUGUUAUUUUAAAAAAUAACUUAAAAAAAAAUUCACUUAAUUAUAUAGAUUCCUAUUUUUUAUUUUUAAAAAAAGAAUUAUAUCAGAUAGAUUUGGAUAUAGAUAUUAGAUGUCCAUGUAAACAAAUUUUUAAACAUGUAUGUUAUAAAAUGAACAUAGAUCCAACACAUAUAUUAAUAUAUCCUCAUCCUCCAUUAAAUAUGUCAGUUAAUUUUAGUCCAUAUAACAUAGAUUCCUUUACAUAUGCUUCUAAUACACAUACAGACCCAAAUAUCAACAAUAUGAACAAUAAUAGUAUAAAUAAAGGUGAUAAUAAUUACAUUAAUAAUAAUAGUGAUGAUCCAGAUGAUUCAGAUAAUAGACCCACAGAUAAUAAAUAUAGUAAUAAUGCAUGUUUGAAAUUAGAAACUUUUGAACAAUUAAUAAAAAAACAUGCUAUACUAAUGGAACAUAACUCGCUAAUAGAACAAAAAACUUUUUGUUUAUCAUUAUUACCAUUUCAUUAUAAAUAUUUUAAUAGAUUAUAUCCACCUGAAAAACCCCAAUAUUUUUAUUAUAUUAUUCAGCUAUUCAAUUCACAUGUACAAUCCGUAGCUUCAUUUAGUGGUCAUAUUCAACUAAAAACAAAAAUAAGCAACAAAAUCAGAUCGAAUAUUCUUAAGUAUGGCAAAAAAAUAGAUAAACAAAGUAAUGGCACUAGUAAUGGCACUAGUAAUGGCACUAGUAAUGACACUAGUAAUGGUACUAGUAAUGGUACUAGUAAUGGUACUAGUAAUAGUAACAGUCUAAGUGAUUAUAGUAACAGUAAUGACAGUAGUGACAGUAGCGACAAUAGCAGCAUUAGUGAUAAUGAUUCUUUAACUAGUUCAAACUCAUAUGAUAGUAUAAAUCCACAUAAUAAAAAUCAUAAACAAAAUAAAUAUACAACAGUACAAGAUCUGAUUGAUAAAAUAAAAUUAGAAAUGAACCCAUAUUUAAAAAAAAGAGGUAUAAAUGCAAAACAAAAGUUUAGAUUGUUAUUUACAUAUGGACCUAAAAUUAAAUAUAUAGAUAAUGAUGAAAAACUAAUAACAAUGGACAUUGUUAAAACGAGUCAAAUCAAAAACGCUUAUAUUACUCCUUUAAGAAUGGAACCAGAUUUUACUGAUGAGGAAAAGCAGAAAAUAGAAACUCAUAAGUUGAAGGUAUUUGUCUAUAACUGCUUGUUUGUAUAUAUAUAUAUAUAUAUAUAUAUAUAUAUAUAUAUAUCCAUUUGCCUUUUAAUUUAUCAGUUUUUACAUUCAUUUUGUGUUUUACCUAGUCUGUGACCCCCUUAAAUUGUUCCUUUUUGUCCCAUUUAUUUUAUCUUAUUUUUCAUCUUUUUUUUCAUCUUUU